Molecule: ribosomal RNA, 830 nt
Filed under: Virgibacillus sp. U0281
Lineage: Bacteria; Bacillati; Bacillota; Bacilli; Caryophanales; Bacillaceae
Description: bacterial SSU rRNA
Rfam family: Bacterial small subunit ribosomal RNA
Source: RNAcentral
GUCGAGCGCGUGAACUAACUGAAUCCUUCGGGAGGAAGUUAGUGGAACGAGCGGCGGACGGGUGAGUAACACGUGGGCAACCUGCCUGUGAGACUGGGAUAACCCCGGGAAACCGGGGCUAAUACCGGAUAAUACUUUUCUUUGCAUGAAGAGGAGUUGAAAGGCGGCUUUUAGCUGCCGCUUGCAGAUGGGCCCGCGGCGCAUUAGCUAGUUGGUAAGGUAAGAGCUUACCAAGGCGACGAUGCGUAGCCGACCUGAGAGGGUGAUCGGCCACACUGGGACUGAGACACGGCCCAGACUCCUACGGGAGGCAGCAGUAGGGAAUCUUCCGCAAUGGACGAAAGUCUGACGGAGCAACGCCGCGUGAGUGAUGAAGGUUUUCGGAUCGUAAAGCUCUGUUGUGAGGGAAGAACAAGUACCGUUUGAAAAAGGCGGUACCUUGACGGUACCUCACCAGAAAGCCCCGGCUAACUACGUGCCAGCAGCCGCGGUAAUACGUAGGGGGCAAGCGUUGUCCGGAAUUAUUGGGCGUAAAGCGCGCGCAGGCGGUCUUUUAAGUCUGAUGUGAAAGCCCACGGCUUAACCGUGGAGGGUCAUUGGAAACUGGAGGACUUGAGUGCAGAAGAGGAGAGUGGAAUUCCACGUGUAGCGGUGAAAUGCGUAGAGAUGUGGAGGAACACCAGUGGCGAAUGCGACUCUCUGGUCUGUAACUGACGCUGAGGUGCGAAAGCGUGGGUAGCGAACAGGAUUAGAUACCCUGGUAGUCCACGCCGUAAACGAUGAGUGCUAGGUGUUAGGGGGUUUCCGCCCCUUAGUGCUGAAGUAACGCA